UUUGCUUCGGACUCUAACAAGGGGAUUCUUUGGAGGUCAAAGCUCGCAUUUUUAUCCGCUGGAUCUGCAGGAACGACGACGAUGAUGCCGGCGCAUCCGGGCUCUUCGUCGACCUUCCCGUGCUGGAGGCCGACACUGCCGGCUUCUCCUGGAAUCUCUGUUGCUGCUCAAGGUGUUGCAUCUCCUCCGCGGUCUCCCUCCUCGGCUGCUGCGCCUCCUCCGCGGCUGGGCGCCAGGGCAGUUGGGAAUCAAACGAAGAGGUCAAGGGGAACCACAACGGUGAGACGCGACGCUAAGGAGUAAGACGGCCGGAUCUGGAGCUUGAGGCCCUUCACCGCGCUUGUGUUCGUCAGAUUGCAAGUAAGCCCUGGAGUUGUACAGAGGAGAGGAAGAGGCAGUCACUGAGGGCGUGCUACGUCUACGGGCUCAUCUUCUUCGCCAUCAACCCGCACAGACAGCGCUGCUGUCGGAGUCGUCGGUGGAUGAGACGCCCACGCCACCAGCGUCUGCAGAGUCUUCGAACAUGUGCUCCCAAUAUUGCAGCCACGUCCUUCUUAUCAGUUCUCUUGAACUUGCCUCCUCUACUCUUAUGGAGGGUUUCCAUGGACAUGUAAACGGCAUAUCUCUGCGCAUCAGUGAGCCAAUUCCUUUGCCUUUGUACUCCUACAAUAGCAAUAGAAUAAUAAAAUUAAUUAUUGCAAGAAUAUUACAAAUUGGUUGAUGGAAAUGUAAACAAGAGGUCAGCAAUAGCAAUAGCAAGUAAUUCCAUAGGAGUAUUUCUUGCUGAAAAUGUUGCUUGAUGUAAAUAUAAACAUAAAUUCUUGAGUUCAAGCUUUCUGCUCUCUCUGUGUAGCCAUGAAUAUUUCCGCUCUCUCUCUGUCGUAUGUACACAUCUCCCCUUUCCCUAGCAAAAAAGAGAAUGCUCUAACUAGUCUAGUCUCUCUAAGUGACCAAGUGGGAGACAUCACACCCACCUGUCUGGUUUAUGCAAGAUCCUCCUAACAAUCUACUGUACUCCAGUAUAAUUUCGAGGUUUAGGAUUGCUAGUAUGAAAAUGGUGUACUUUAUAAAUUUGCAAGAAUUUCAAAUGGAGUACUCCAAAUAUGCAUGCUGUUAAAAUGACAUUAGGAGUACUCCAAAUAUGCAUGCUGUUAAUUAUGAAAAUGGAGUACUCCAAAUAUGCAUGUUAUUAAAUAUGAAAAUACAGUAUAAUUCUGCAAGAACAUUAGGAUUUCGACAUUGAUGAGAAAUGGAGUAGAAUUCUACUGAUCACUAUGCACAAUUAUACUCCAUUAUAUGUUGAAAUCUUAGCAAUCCCUUCCUUCUAUGUCACUUCUCUGUUAUGGACACAAUAUGCACAAUUCUACUCCAUUGAUCAUUCAUCCUGAUAAUGUUCAACAUCAAGGUUUCCAUUUUGACAGGUAAUGUUGCCUUUUUCUUCAGGUUCUCACAAUAGGCACAAUCUGUUAUUGCUUAGCAAUCCUUGAUGUUGAAAAUGGAGUAGAACGUCUAAUGAAGCUUCCUCAUAUGCACUAUUCAGUCUUAGCAAUCCCUUCUUUGUUACUUCUCUGAGGCAUAAUUUGAUGCAAGAUUAAAAGAAAUUAUACCUGUAUUUUGACCAGCAUUGUUG
Molecule: long non-coding RNA, 1630 nt
Organism: Triticum dicoccoides
Lineage: Eukaryota; Viridiplantae; Streptophyta; Magnoliopsida; Poales; Poaceae
Exons: 4
Source: RefSeq, a predicted model, not a curated record